AAUGGGUCAGCGACUUAUAUUCUGUAGCAAGGUUAACCGAAUAGGGGAGCCGAAGGGAAACCGAGUCUUAACUGGGCGUUAAGUUGCAGGGUAUAGACCCGAAACCCGGUGAUCUAGCCAUGGGCAGGUUGAAGGUUGGGUAACACUAACUGGAGGACCGAACCGACUAAUGUUGAAAAAUUAGCGGAUGACUUGUGGCUGGGGGUGAAAGGCCAAUCAAACCGGGAGAUAGCUGGUUCUCCCCGAAAGCUAUUUAGGUAGCGCCUCGUGAAUUCAUCUCCGGGGGUAGAGCACUGUUUCGGCAAGGGGGUCAUCCCGACUUACCAACCCGAUGCAAACUGCGAAUACCGGAGAAUGUUAUCACGGGAGACACACGGCGGGUGCUAACGUCCGUCGUGAAGAGGGAAACAACCCAGACCGCCAGCUAAGGUCCCAAAGUCAUGGUUAAGUGGGAAACGAUGUGGGAAGGCCCAGACAGCCAGGAUGUUGGCUUAGAAGCAGCCAUCAUUUAAAGAAAGCGUAAUAGCUCACUGGUCGAGUCGGCCUGCGCGGAAGAUGUAACGGGGCUAAACCAUGCACCGAAGCUGCGGCAGCGACG
Molecule: ribosomal RNA, 598 nt
Filed under: Escherichia coli
Lineage: Bacteria; Pseudomonadati; Pseudomonadota; Gammaproteobacteria; Enterobacterales; Enterobacteriaceae
Description: partial 23S ribosomal RNA
Rfam family: Bacterial large subunit ribosomal RNA
Source: RNAcentral